RNAcentral lists this long non-coding RNA (351 nucleotides) under Bos taurus (domestic cattle). RNAcentral describes it as "long non-coding RNA NONBTAT014850". Lineage: Eukaryota; Metazoa; Chordata; Mammalia; Artiodactyla; Bovidae. The record is from RNAcentral.
GGUGUGUGAUUGCAUUUUUGCUUUUUGACAAGUACAAUUUCCAAAAUAAUUUCUUGGAUAGUCUUUAGAUAUAUCCUUUCAGAGCUUGACAGGAUUAAGCUGUCAAUUUACAAAGAAUUGCACCAAGAAAUGGAAUGGUAUCUGAAAAAAAUAUGUAAGCAUAUCAAAGUAAUCAUUCUUGGUAAACCUUGAGGAGAAUGUAAAUCUCUGAUUUUUUUUUUUUUUAAAUCAAGUCAAUCAUGAAUAGUUGAGAUUUUUGUGAUUAAAAAAAAAAGCUAAUAGAAAAAAAAACUUGUAAAAUGUUUGCAGUUCUGCUAAGCCUGGCUUAUGCCCAGCACACAUUUUUUGAAA